RNAcentral lists this ribosomal RNA (405 nucleotides) under uncultured bacterium. RNAcentral describes it as "partial 16S ribosomal RNA". The record is from RNAcentral.
UGUUACGACUUCACCCCAGUCAUGAAUCACACCGUGGUAAACGCCCUCCCGAAGGUUAAGCUAUCUACUUCUGGUGCAACCCACUCCCAUGGUGUGACGGGCGGUGUGUACAAGGCCCGGGAACGUAUUCACCGCAACAUUCUGAUUUGCGAUUACUAGCGAUUCCGACUUCAUGGAGUCGAGUUGCAGACUCCAAUCCGGACUACGACGCGCUUUUUGGGAUUCGCUCACUAUCGCUAGCUUGCAGCCCUCUGUACGCGCCAUUGUAGCACGUGUGUAGCCCUGGCCGUAAGGGCCAUGAUGACUUGACGUCACCCCCACCUUCCUCCGGUUUAUCACCGGCAGUCUCCCUUGAGUUCCCACCAUUACGUGCUGGCAACAAAGGACAGGGGUUGCGCUCGUUGC